This 476-nucleotide ribosomal RNA is filed under the name Clostridium cadaveris. RNAcentral's name for it is "bacterial SSU rRNA". The record is from RNAcentral. Lineage: Bacteria; Bacillati; Bacillota; Clostridia; Eubacteriales; Clostridiaceae.
UUUAAAUUGAGAGUUUGAUCCUGGCUCAGGAUGAACGCUGGCGGCGUGCUUAACACAUGCAAGUCGAGCGAGGGAGCACCUUCGGGUGUGAACUAGCGGCGGACGGGUGAGUAACACGUGGGCAACCUGCCUUACAGAGGGGGAUAGCCUUCCGAAAGGAAGAUUAAUACCGCAUAUUAUGWUUUUUCUGCAUGGGAAAGUCAUGAAAGGAGCAAUCCGCUGUAAGAUGGGCCCGCGGCGCAUUAGCUAGUUGGUGAGGUAAGGGCUCACCAAGGCGACGAUGCGUAGCCGACCUGAGAGGGUGAUCGGCCACAUUGGGACUGAGACACGGCCCAGACUCCUACGGGAGGCAGCAGUGGGGAAUAUUGCACAAUGGGGGAAACCCUGAUGCAGCAACGCCGCGUGAGUGAUGACGGCCUUCGGGUUGUAAAGCUCUGUCUUCAGGGACGAUAAUGACGGUACCUGAGGAGGAAGCC